Molecule: ribosomal RNA, 460 nt
Filed under: uncultured bacterium
Lineage: Bacteria
Description: partial 16S ribosomal RNA
Rfam family: Bacterial small subunit ribosomal RNA
Source: RNAcentral
CCUACGGGUGGCAGCAGUGAGGAAUAUUGGUCAAUGGACGCAAGUCUGAACCAGCCAUGCCGCGUGCAUGAAGACGGCUCUAUGAGUUGUAAACUGCUUUUGUACGAGGGUACACGCAGAUACGCAUAUCUGUCUGACAUUAUCGUACGAAUAACGAUCGGCUAACUCAGUGCAAGCAGCCGCGGUAAGGCGGAGGAUUCAAGCGUUAUCCGGAUUUAUUGGGUGUAAAGGGUGCGUAGGCGGUUGGAUAAGUUAGAGGUGAAAGCCCGAGGCUCAACUUCGGAAUGGCCUUGGAUACUGUGCGGCUAGAGAGCAGUUGCGGUAGGUGGAAUGUAAGGUGUAGCGGUGAAAUGCGCAGAGAUCAUACAGAACACCGAGUGCGAAGGCAGCUUUCCAGUCUACUUCCGACGUUGAGGCACGAAAGCGUGGGGAGCAAACAGGAUUAGAUACCCCAGUAGUC